RNAcentral lists this ribosomal RNA (253 nucleotides) under uncultured bacterium. RNAcentral's name for it is "partial 16S ribosomal RNA". It matches the Rfam family "Bacterial small subunit ribosomal RNA", at positions 524 to 776 of the family's 1533-position model. The record is from RNAcentral.
UACGAACUGUGCGAACGUUAUUCGGAAUCACUGGGCUUACAGGGUGCGUAGGCGGCUAUUCAGGUCAGGUGUGAAAGCCCCCGGCUCAACUGGGGAGGGUCACGCGAUACUGAUCGACUCGAAGGCAGGAGAGGGAAGUGGAAUUCCCGGUGUAGUGGUGAAAUGCGUAGAUAUCGGGAGGAACACCAGUGGCGAAGGCGACUUCCUGGCCUGUUCUUGACGCUGAGGCGCGAAAGCUAGGGGAGCAAACGGG